RNAcentral lists this long non-coding RNA (2142 nucleotides) under Homo sapiens (human). RNAcentral describes it as "HSALNT0328657". Lineage: Eukaryota; Metazoa; Chordata; Mammalia; Primates; Hominidae. The record is from RNAcentral.
GCUGUGAGAAGGCAUACCCUCUGAGGCAGUGGUAAUAUUCUGUGCCACAAACAGCCAAAAUGUCAAUGCCUAUAAUUCUCUUAGCAGUGGGAACCACAGUCCCUGUUUAGUGCAUGUAUUUGGGUCGUAGGGAUUCACUGUUCAUUACAGCAAGCCAUUAAACAUCAGAUACAACAGAGCCAUCUGUCUCACUGGAUCUCUUCUUACCAGAAAAUUGGAUGGUAUAAAUAAUAUACUUACAAAAAAAACUACAGUUACUAGGGAAUAUUAAGUUCAUAAGAUGGAAACACACAAAUCCAAGACAUUUAUUAAUUCAUUCCACAUACAUGUAUCACAGGCUACCGCCAUGUGCUGGGAGUUCAGUUAUAAACAAAAUAAACAAAUGCCCCUACCCUCAAGGGGCAUCUGGAGGAGGGAGACUACAAAUAGGAUAAAUUCAUAAAAUAUAUUGUUUUAAAAAUAGUUUUUAAGAGAAGUUUAAGUCUACGGCAAAUUGAACAGAUGGUAUGAAGAGUUCUUAUAUAUCCCUGUCCCCACAUAUGCAUAGCCUCCUUCCAGUUUGUUGUUGUUGUUGAUUCUAGAAGUGUUCUUUAUAGUUGAAAUUAAAUAGUUAUCUUACUUCAAAAGAAUAGAUCCUAAAAUAUUGUGCAUAUGUGGCAAUAUAUUUCUAAAACCGCAUUCACAAAAUACUUACAUACCAGUCAGAAUUCUAUUGCCUUCUGUUUCCCAAAAUGAGUCAAUGUCAAUAACAGUCUUUUUAUGUUACCAAUUUGUUAAAAUAUUCACAGACUCAUAAUAGAAUACACAUUAAGUACAAAUGUCUAACUCACUGUGUUAGUUUGUAGUUACUACGUUUAGAAGGUUGUUUUUUUUUUUUGUCAUGCUAGGUUGCCUCUGUGCAUCAAUCUAAAUUGAUGAUUUUGUUUUCCUUGGAAAACUUUCUUCCUUUAUCCGUGAAACACUACUCUUGUGUGCUUUUUCUCAGUUUAGUCUUACAAAUUCUUUUAAUUAUUUUUCGCCAUUUCCUUUCCUACAAACAGUUAAAUACAGGUCUGUAUUUCUUUCUUUCCCAGGCAACUUGUUCUGAUGAAUAUUUUCCUUCCUUUGCCUGUUUUUUUUUUAAUCUAUCCAUCAUCCAUACAUCCAUCUAUCCACUAUUAUUAACAUCCAUCUAUCCAUUAGCAAAGAUUCAUUCAGAAGCUAUGUGCCAGGCACUAAGUUAGGUAUCAAGGAUAUUGACAGAAGACAGAUGUAGUUCCUUCCUAAUUCUAGAUAAGCGAAACACAUGAACAAAAAUGAAGUCUAUAAAAUAUUUAUGAUAGCCUGUGGCAGAAAAUAGUGUAUGGAGGGUGGAGGACACUAAGAAGGAGAUGAUUCUCCCAGAAAGGUAAAGCAUAAGAUACAUAAAGAAAAUGUUAUGAUUCUUAACACAGGGCUUAACGUAGUACACAUUUGUUGAAUGAAUAAAUAAGUAAAUUUACCAAGUUUGAGGUUCAAAACUGACAUUUUCUUAUUUAAAAUUGGGAAGGAAUAAUGUUAAGGUAAAAAACAUUAGGAGAUAAUUGUCCAUAACUCAUAGAGUUGUUGAUAGGAUCAAAUGAGUUAAUAAAGGAAAAGCCCUGAGAGUUUUAUGUCUGACAUAUAAUAAACACUGUUCAUAGGAUACCAACAAGACCAUUCAAUAAAUCAUGGCACCCCAUUUUCUGAGCAUUUGAGUCCAUGAAUAUUUAACCAUACAGAGUUGUUUCCCUGCAUUUUCUGUAUUGGUUAGAAUGUGUCAUUGGCACUAAAGAGAGAAUUUUAAUAAAUAUUGAAGUCAUUGGAAAGAAAGGAUGAGGAGAGUGACUACUCACAUAGGCUUUGGGGGUGAGUGUGUUGGUGUCUGCACAGUGAAUUGGGUCACCUCUUAACAAACCCUGCAAGGGGUGUCUUUCUUUCCUUCCUCUUUCAAAUGUGAGAAUAUACUUAGCAGCUAUUGUUUUCAACUUAGAAGACCAGAGCUGAAUUUCUGAGAUGUCAGAAAAUGUCCCUUCAGUAUUUUGUUGCUAUUUCUGAAGGAAUUUCAGGCAAGAACAUACAUUAGAACAGAGAAAUGUGUGCUAAUACCUCAUGAAGUCUUCUGGAACAAGUGACAACUCUGCC